GGGUACAUAGCUCAGCGGUAGAGCACAUGCUUAGCACACACAAGGUCCUGGGUUCAAUCCUAGUGCUUCCA
This 71-nucleotide transfer RNA is filed under the name Camelus bactrianus (Bactrian camel). It matches the Rfam family "tRNA". From Rfam's summary of the family: Transfer RNA (tRNA) molecules are approximately 80 nucleotides in length. Their secondary structure includes four short double-helical elements and three loops (D, anti-codon, and T loops). Further hydrogen bonds mediate the characteristic L-shaped molecular structure. tRNAs have two regions of fundamental functional importance: the anti-codon, which is responsible for specific mRNA codon recognition, and the 3' end, to which the tRNAs corresponding amino acid is attached (by aminoacyl-tRNA synthetases). tRNAs cope with the degeneracy of the genetic code in two manners: having more than one tRNA (with a specific anti-codon) for a particular amino acid; and 'wobble' base-pairing, i.e. permitting non-standard base-pairing at the 3rd anti-codon position. The record is from Rfam by way of RNAcentral. Lineage: Eukaryota; Metazoa; Chordata; Mammalia; Artiodactyla; Camelidae. RNAcentral also lists the same sequence under 1 other name.